Molecule: unclassified non-coding RNA, 1379 nt
Filed under: Hevea brasiliensis (rubber tree)
Lineage: Eukaryota; Viridiplantae; Streptophyta; Magnoliopsida; Malpighiales; Euphorbiaceae
Source: RNAcentral
GGACUUCCGAAAAAUGGAAAGGAUAAUGUGAGCUCCGGUUAAUCGCAGUAUAUUUCUUCAACAAGAUCCGGUCUUCUUCUUCUUCAUAGUGAGGCAGUCUUCUUCUUCUGUUUGACAAGUAUUUUUCUUCAUCUCCAUUGGUCUUAGUCUCCAACAGUAAUCUUCUUCUACCGCAAUUUUUUAUAAAGUUUUUUCUCAGAUUGGAGACUCUUUUUCCUUCCAAAGCUCAUCAAAACUAGCUCGUGGUCGUUGAAGCUUGUGGCCAGCUCGUGCUCGUCCCAGUAUGGCUGCUCCAAAGAAGGUUUGGGGCUUAUUCUAAGUAGAAUUUAAAGUUUAUUCUCUUGUCAAUUAAAUUUGUUGGCCUGGCUACAUGUUUCCAGCAGGAUUUGAAUAGUCAUGAGUCAACAAGAGCCUUCGAAAAGAUACAAAAGAGCAAAAAAGAACCUUGCUUUACGUGGAUCAUUAUCAUUCUGGGCAAAUAAAAAACAACGAUUAUUGACAACAAAUGAAAUAUUUCAAGCUAUAGAGUGAGGAAACGACAUUUUCUAAACUUAAUUGAAGAACAACAUCAAGGCGUAGCACCAAAAUCUCAAGCAAAUGAAUAAUCUGAAGAAAUUAGGCAAUCUUUAGAGGAACAACCUCCAGAUGAGCAGCCCCUAGAAGAGCAAGUGGAAAUUAAUUCUAUCAUUCCUCCAACAAAUGAACAAUCUGAAUAAAUACUAAGAAUCGAAAAAAGCAGAUGAACCCACACACCGCUGGCAAAAAGAGUUUUGCUUUAGUCCGUAACAAAUUGGAAAAAGAAAAGGAAACUGUAUCAGCUAAAGAGAUCUUUGUGUUCACAAGAACAAGGAAACUUGGGCAUUUGUACAAGACCUCGACGAAAACACAACUAGUAAAAUUCCGUUAUGGGUCAUGAACAUCCGGUACGUCUCAUACUGUAUGGAGUGGGGGUUACAAAGACUGCAUUGAAAAUAAAACCUGGAAAUUCUGACCAUUCUUUAAAGGCCACAGAUGAUGUAGUUCAACAAAUGCAAAAUAACGGAGAAACGGAUGGAGGAACAAAAUAAAACUAUGCGACAACAAGCUAUCACAAAAGUAAUUGCACAACUUCAAAAUGCAGGAUUAAUUGAUCGGAACAUACUAGCUGCAUUAUUUGUUCCUCCUCCAAGAGAAACUAGUACUUCCUCACAAGCGGCUUAUCAAGGAGAUUUAAUUGAAGGAGAUGAAAGCAGUACUGAAGACUUGACUUAGGAGUUAACUGGAUUGAUGUUAAUUAACUUUAAUCAUCUAUGUUCUACAAAUAUUUUGAUUUUGAUUAAUAUUGAAAAUUGUGGUGUGUUUCAUCCUUUUUGAACAUUCAAAAAAAAUUGUAUAUUUUG